RNAcentral lists this ribosomal RNA (769 nucleotides) under uncultured Pseudoalteromonadaceae bacterium. Its description in RNAcentral is "bacterial SSU rRNA". It matches the Rfam family "Bacterial small subunit ribosomal RNA", at positions 28 to 776 of the family's 1533-position model. Lineage: Bacteria; Pseudomonadati; Pseudomonadota; Gammaproteobacteria; Alteromonadales; Pseudoalteromonadaceae. The record is from RNAcentral.
AUUGAACGCUGGCGGCAGGCCUAACACAUGCAAGUCGAGCGGAAACGAGUUAUCUGAACCUUCGGGGAACGAUAACGGCGUCGAGCGGCGGACGGGUGAGUAAUGCCUAGGAAAUUGCCCUGAUGUGGGGGAUAACCAUUGGAAACGAUGGCUAAUACCGCAUGAUGCCUACGGGCCAAAGAGGGGGACCUUCGGGCCUCUCGCGUCAGGAUAUGCCUAGGUGGGAUUAGCUAGUUGGUGAGGUAAGGGCUCACCAAGGCGACGAUCCCUAGCUGGUCUGAGAGGAUGAUCAGCCACACUGGAACUGAGACACGGUCCAGACUCCUACGGGGGGCAGCAGUGGGGAAUAUUGCACAAUGGGCGCAAGCCUGAUGCAGCCAUGCCGCGUGUAUGAAGAAGGCCUUCGGGUUGUAAAGUACUUUCAGUCGUGAGGAAGGUAGUGUAGUUAAUAGCUGCAUUAUUUGACGUUAGCGACAGAAGAAGCACCGGCUAACUCCGUGCCAGCAGCCGCGGUAAUACGGAGGGUGCGAGCGUUAAUCGGAAUUACUGGGCGUAAAGCGCAUGCAGGUGGUUUGUUAAGUCAGAUGUGAAAGCCCGGGGCUCAACCUCGGAUUAGCAUUUGAAACUGGCAGACUAGAGUACUGUAGAGGGGGGUAGAAUUUCAGGUGUAGCGGUGAAAUGCGUAGAGAUCUGAAGGAAUACCGGUGGCGAAGGCGGCCCCCUGGACAGAUACUGACACUCAGAUGCGAAAGCGUGGGGAGCAAACAGG